AGUGAACGCUGGCGGCAGGCCUAAUCCAUGCAAGUCGAACGGCAGCACAGCAGAGCUUGCUCUGUGGGUGGCGAGUGGCGGACGGGUGAGGAAUACGUGGGAAUCUGCCCAGUCGUGGGGGAUAACGUAGGGAAACUUACGCUAAUACCGCAUGCGCCCUUUGGGGUACAGCCGGGGAUCUUCGGACCUGGCGCGAUUGGAUGAGCCCACGUCGGAUUAGCUAGUUGGAGGGGUAAAGGCCCACCAAGGCGACGAUCCGUAGCUGGUCUGACCGCAUGAUCAGCCACACGUGAGCGGAGACACGAUCAAGACGACUACGGAAGCCAGCAGUAGGGAAUCUUGAACAAUGGGCGCAAGCCUGAUCCAGCCAUGCGGCGUGAGUGAAGAAGGCCCUCGGGUUGCAAAGCUCUUUUGUUGGGGAAGAAAAGCCUUGGGUUAAUACCCUGAGGUUCUGACGGUACCCAAAGAAUAAGCACCGGCUAACUUCGUGCCAGCAGCCGCAGUAA
This 506-nucleotide ribosomal RNA is filed under the name uncultured bacterium. RNAcentral describes it as "partial 16S ribosomal RNA". It matches the Rfam family "Bacterial small subunit ribosomal RNA", at positions 29 to 523 of the family's 1533-position model. The record is from RNAcentral.